UAGGGAAUAUUAGUAAUGGGCGAAAGCCUGAACUAGCAACACCGCGUGUGCGAAGAAGGCCUUCGGGUUGUAAAGCACUUUUUGAGAGGAUGAGGAAGGACAGUACUCUCAGAAUAAGUCUCGGCUAACUACGUGCCAGCAGCCGCGGUAACACGUAGGAGGCGAACGUUAUCCGGAUUUACUGGGCGUAAAGCGCGUGUAGGUGGUUCUGUAAGUAGGGCGUGAAAGCUCCUGGCUCAACUGGGAGAGGCCGUUCUAAACUACAGAACUAGAGGAUGGUAGAGGGAGGUGGAAUUCCAGGUGUAGCGGUGGAAUGCGCAGAUAUCUGGAGGAACACCAGUGGCGAAGGCGGCCUCCUGGACCAUUCCUGACACUCAGACGCGAAAGCUAGGGUAGCAAACG
RNAcentral lists this ribosomal RNA (402 nucleotides) under uncultured prokaryote. RNAcentral's name for it is "bacterial SSU rRNA". It matches the Rfam family "Bacterial small subunit ribosomal RNA", at positions 355 to 774 of the family's 1533-position model. The record is from RNAcentral.